GGCGGCUCUUCGUGCGGCGUCACCCUGCGAAUCCCCCAGGACCGGAAGGUAGCAAGGGUAAGAAGGCUCUGGCGGGUGCACGAAGAGUCCUUUUC
Molecule: signal recognition particle RNA, 95 nt
Filed under: Brevibacterium rongguiense
Lineage: Bacteria; Bacillati; Actinomycetota; Actinomycetes; Micrococcales; Brevibacteriaceae
Description: Bacterial small signal recognition particle RNA
Rfam family: Bacterial small signal recognition particle RNA
About the family: The signal recognition particle (SRP) is a universally conserved ribonucleoprotein involved in the co-translational targeting of proteins to membranes. Archaeal SRP consists of a 7S RNA and homologues of the eukaryotic SRP19 and SRP54 proteins.
Source: Rfam by way of RNAcentral